GACGAACGCUGGCGGCGCGCCUAACACAUGCAAGUCGAACGAGCGAGAGAGAGCUUGCUUUCUCGAGCGAGUGGCGAACGGGUGAGUAACGCGUGAGGAACCUGCCUCAAAGAGGGGGACAACAGUUGGAAACGACUGCUAAUACCGCAUAAGCCCACGGUGCCGCAUGGCACAGAGGGAAAAGGAGCAAUCCGCUUUGAGAUGGCCUCGCGUCCGAUUAGCUAGUUGGUGAGGUAAUGGCCCACCAAGGCGACGAUCGGUAGCCGGACUGAGAGGUUGAACGGCCACAUUGGGACUGAGACACGGCCCAGACUCCUACGGGAGGCAGCAGUGGGGAAUAUUGUACAAUGGGGGAAACCCUGAUGCAGCGACGCCGCGUGGAGGAAGAAGGUCUUCGGAUUGUAAACUCCUGUUGUUGGGGAAGAUAAUGACGGUACCCAACAAGGAAGUGACGGCUAACUACGUG
RNAcentral lists this ribosomal RNA (466 nucleotides) under uncultured bacterium. Its description in RNAcentral is "partial 16S ribosomal RNA". It matches the Rfam family "Bacterial small subunit ribosomal RNA", at positions 28 to 507 of the family's 1533-position model. The record is from RNAcentral.